Molecule: microRNA precursor, 57 nt
Organism: Hucho hucho (huchen)
Lineage: Eukaryota; Metazoa; Chordata; Actinopteri; Salmoniformes; Salmonidae
Source: Ensembl
UAUGGCUUUUUAUUCCUACGUGAGGGUAGAUGUGUUCAUGUAGGGAUAGAAGCCACU